RNAcentral lists this transfer RNA (75 nucleotides) under Frigoribacterium sp. CG_9.8. It matches the Rfam family "tRNA". Rfam says of the family: Transfer RNA (tRNA) molecules are approximately 80 nucleotides in length. Their secondary structure includes four short double-helical elements and three loops (D, anti-codon, and T loops). Lineage: Bacteria; Bacillati; Actinomycetota; Actinomycetes; Micrococcales; Microbacteriaceae. The record is from Rfam by way of RNAcentral.
GCCCCCUUAGCUCAGCCCGGCCAGAGCAGCUCACUUGUAAUGAGCAGGUCAACGGUUCGAAUCCGUUAGGGGGCU